RNAcentral lists this unclassified non-coding RNA (341 nucleotides) under soil metagenome. RNAcentral's name for it is "partial contains 5.8S ribosomal RNA, internal transcribed spacer 2, and large subunit ribosomal RNA". The stretch from base 1 to 120 matches the Rfam family "5.8S ribosomal RNA", at positions 35 to 154 of the family's 154-position model. The record is from RNAcentral.
GAUGAAGAACGUAGCGAAAUGCGAUAAGUAGUGUGAAUUGCAGAAUUCAGUGAAUCAUCGAAUCUUUGAACGCACAUUGCGCCCUUUGGUAUUCCAAAGGGCAUGCCUGUUCGAGCGUCAUUUGUACCCUCAAGCUUUGCUUGGUGUUGGGCGUCUUGUCUCUAGCUUUGCUGGAGACUCGCCUUAAAGUAAUUGGCAGCCGGCCUACUGGUUUCGGAGCGCAGCACAAGUCGCACUCUCUAUCAGCAAAGGUCUAGCAUCCAUUAAGCCUUUCUUUCAACUUUUGACCUCGGAUCAGGUAGGGAUACCCGCUGAACUUAAGCAUAUCAAUAAGCGGAGGA